Molecule: ribosomal RNA, 410 nt
Filed under: uncultured bacterium
Lineage: Bacteria
Description: bacterial SSU rRNA
Rfam family: Bacterial small subunit ribosomal RNA
Source: RNAcentral
AAUGGGGGCAACCCUGAUCCAGCCACGCCGCGUGCGGGAAGAAGGCCUUCGGGUUGUAAACCGCUUUUGUCAGGGAAGAAAUCCUCUGGGUUAACACCUCGGGGGGAUGACGGUACCUGGAGAAUAAGCACCGGCUAACUACGUGCCAGCAGCCGCGGUAAUACGUAGGGUGCAAGCGUUAAUCGGAAUUACUGGGCGUAAAGCGUGCGCAGGCGGUUGUGCAAGACAGAUGUGAAAUCCCCGGGCUUAACCUGGGAACUGCACUUGUGACUGCACGGCUGGAGUGCGGCAGAGGGGGAUGGAAUUCCGCGUGUAGCAGUGAAAUGCGUAGAUAUGCGGAGGAACACCGAUGGCGAAGGCAAUCCCCUGGGCCUGCACUGACGCUCAUGCACGAAAGCGUGGGGAGCAAA